UUAGACAUAUAAUGCUAAGCUGAUUUUUUUUAUAGCACACUGAUCGAUAUCUCUGUAAAAUAAUCAUUUUUUUAACUAGCGGGGCAGUGAAAUCUUUGCUUUGUGCUAAAGUCAACAGUGACAGAGUUUGAGCUCAAAUAAAUGCCGUGAUGUCUGGAGCCCUUUGCAGAAGGCAGAAGGCGAGCUUCUACAAUGGGCUCCUGUGUGGCUUGCCAACAACAAGCACGGGCUAUUUUGCACAGGGCUCUGCUGACUGAAGUGAUCCCCACGGCCCGAGUGGAAGAGAGGAGGGAGAGGAAGCCUCAGAGGGACGAGGGAUAGCUGCAGAAGAGCUUCACUGAUGCACACACACACACACACACACACACUCACUCACUCAAACACUUACACAAUGUCCCUCUCAGUCCUGGGUUGUGACCGGCCCAUGGCAUUGGCCAGAUGCACAUGGCUUUCAUUUGAAGGACAGAUUUCCAUGGCUGCUUCCGUCUACUUUCAUCACCCUGCAUCAAGCGACCUGAAAGCACUUCCUUGUCGAUGUACUUGGCUAUAUCUACGUCUGACCUGUCUGCCAUAUGUAAUAUCAAAGCCUCUGUCAGCGUGGAGCUGAAUGGGAACAAAAGAGAGGCCUCCAUUAAUGAUUAACUGUUCUAAAAGCCCCGGCUUUUGUAUUCCCAUGGUGCCCAGGCUAUCUGGCCACCAUGUGACAUGCUCACAGCAUUUUUCGAGCAGAUUGGGGGAAAGCUAGUGAGCAAACACAGGUGCUUUGGAGCAGCGUUGCCGACGCUGUCAGGGACAACCACAAACAAGAGCAGCUAUGCCUGGCUAAAUGAAUCCCCACCCCUCCCGACACCAUCACCACCUCCACCACCCCCUCUCUGUCGCUAGCUAACUUCUUUGCUAGCUCCCUAUAGCUUUCUCCCCGCAAAGCCUUCCUUCUGGAGAGUCGUCCCCCCCCCCAACAAGUCCAAUGUCUGCUACGGCCGCGCUCUACAACUUCUCACACCCUCCAAAGAAACAAACAAAUAAAAGUGAGGACAGCCGACCACUUCUUUGAGGUGAUGGCAUUUGCUGUGGUCAUGACUAGUGGGAGAGCAAACAAAUUAAUGAUGUUCGAGUUUUCACUUUCCAAACCAAACUAAAUGUCUUUUAGCUCAAGUGGGGCAAUUCCACUGACCCUGGUGUCAAACACUGUAUAAGGGUUGCACACUCUUGCACUUGAAAUGCUGAGAGGAGGCCGUAAGAAAUUAAAUAGGACUUGAGUUUUGGUCUUCAUGAACCUGGUGUGUUGAAACACCACAAAGCAACACGUGACAAAUAAAUCUUGAAUAAAUUGUGUGUGUAAUAAACAUG
Molecule: long non-coding RNA, 1350 nt
Organism: Dicentrarchus labrax (European seabass)
Lineage: Eukaryota; Metazoa; Chordata; Actinopteri; Moronidae
Exons: 3
Source: RefSeq, a predicted model, not a curated record